GCCUGGGUGGCUCAGUUGGUUAAGCAUCUGACUUCAGCUCAGGCCAUGAUCUCAUGGUCUGUGAGUUCGAGUCCCGCAUCGGGUG
This 85-nucleotide transfer RNA is filed under the name Felis catus (domestic cat). It matches the Rfam family "tRNA". Rfam says of the family: Transfer RNA (tRNA) molecules are approximately 80 nucleotides in length. Their secondary structure includes four short double-helical elements and three loops (D, anti-codon, and T loops). Lineage: Eukaryota; Metazoa; Chordata; Mammalia; Carnivora; Felidae. RNAcentral also lists the same sequence under 3 other names. The record is from Rfam by way of RNAcentral.